This is a non-coding RNA of Cyanistes caeruleus (blue tit), 4796 nucleotides long. The record is from RefSeq and is a predicted model, not a curated record. Lineage: Eukaryota; Metazoa; Chordata; Aves; Passeriformes; Paridae.
AUUACUAUGAAGAGGAUAAUGUGAAGUUAUUCUCGGAAGAUUAUGGCACUGCGAAAGGAAUGUAGCACUGGGCCAUAAAUUAACCGGAACAGGAAAGGCUUAUUCUCAACUCCAGUUUAUUAACUCAGCCAUAUGCAUAUGUAACCCUUUGUACCAAAAACUUGUACUGUAUUCCUGGAAAUCUGAGGAGCAGCCUUUGGUGGAUGAAGAAUGUAAUUCUCCCUGGAGAUGUGGGUAUCCCUUUUGAAGGGGACUGAAGUAGAAUCAGCUGAUAUCCAAGGAACACGACGUCAAGACAUGCAAGAGUACUUUGGAGAGAACUGGCAAUAAGCGUUGCAGUACCAUGGUGGCAAUAACACUGGCUGUCCUCUGGAGAUGCUGAAGCUCAGCCUUAUUUUGAACUUCUUUCUUAGACCCUGCAACUUGUUCACGAAGGACUGCUACUGAUUUGGAUUCAUAUGGUCAUGGGUAUGGAUUUUUUCCUCCCAUUACUUGACAUCUGCAUGUUUCCAGCAGUGAUGAAGUCAGUAGUAGGUCUGCUGACAUUUGAUCUGUUCUUGGGAGCUCUGAGUGACAGGUAUUGUAAACAUCCUACACUCUCAGCUGUGGAAACUAAGAAAGCUGGGAGAAGGCUGUUUACUCUCCCUGCCUUGGAAAUCAUCUGGAGAGCAAAGAUGGAAGAUUAUGUUGACUGUAUUUCUGGCAGCCUGUAUUUCAUACUUUACAUUAUGGUGUCAGUAAACAAAUUAUGUCAUUAUAAUGUCAUUAUAUGUGAUAAUAUCAUCCAUGUCUUGUGUCCAGACCAAGGUCAGAAGGGCUUUAUGAUAUGCCUUAGCUAUACUGCUGGCUUGAGGGAAACUUAAAUAGUAGCAAUAAUACACUGUAAUGCUUCCAUCCUUAAGCAGCAAUUAAAAAAGACCUGUCACACUGUUUGUUUAUAGGUAGUGAUACACAAAAGUUGCAGUGUGAGCAUCUUCAAGUUGACACAUCAGUAUUGUAUUUAAUCAAAAUCACCCUUAAAUGGUUGGUACUUGUUUUUCUAAGAUCUACUCAAUUCUUGUUUUCUACUCAAAAAUGCUAGAAACAGGGGUUAGAAGGCAAAAAGGUUUUAGAGGAAUUCAAAUUUCAGUUUCUUUUCAAAGAAAAUCAGAGGUGUCAACAUCAACUCCGAUUCUAAAUUAAAUUAGGAUACAAAGGUCUUAUACCUUAUGUUUUCUACUUGGUGUUCCCCACCACUUGCUCCCCAGACUGUAUUAUACUUUGUGCUUUGUCCUGGCAAUCUUUCUCCUCUUUCUUGUGUUUCUUUCAUUCUAUAUACUGUAAACCAAGUAGAAUGUAGAAUAAGCUGAAAAAUAAUUUUCCUUUUAAAUCUAAUAUCCUGCUGGCAUGGUACUAAAUACUCUUAAAGUGAGUUUUGCAGCUUUUCUUAAGCAGGGACUGGCAGAAAGAAUAUUAUUUCCCGCUUUUCUCUUUUUCCUUGUUUAUGGGGAAGGGAUACACCUUUUGAAAAAGAAAUUUUUCAUAUUAUAGUUGAAUUCAAAGAUCAUUGUCUAGUUAUUUUUACAAUAGCAUUCUUAUGUCUUCAGAGCCUGCUGCUUCAGCUUUUUAGAAAAGACAUUUAAAUAUAAAAUCUUUGAAAUUAGGGCUUUUAGAAGAGUUUAGUUUUCAGGUUUUGUAAAGGGAUGGGAGUGGAAAGACAACAGGUAAAAGAAUGUGUAAGGGUUUGAAGUAGUACUUACACAAAAUGGAGAAAGAAAAAAAGAAUUCAAACUUUCAUGCAGAACUUAAAAAAAGUCAGUUAUUUGAAGUAAUAAUUAUUUUUCAGGCUCUGUCUUGCUUUCCUAUUGGAAGAAGCAGUAAGAGGGAAAGUGCUGUAAGGGUCACAGUGCUGUAGUGAAGAACUAAAUUGAUAAGUAAAAAGAAGGCUUAUGAUUUGUGUAGUAAUUUUCAAGAAAAGCAGAGUUAACCCCUGCAAAUGAUUGUUUUAAGAUGUAAGCUGUUCAGACUAGUCAGACGAUAGGGGGUAGCAUUUCCUAAUACACAUGGUUCCCUUGGCAAACAGAGAUUUCAGGGGAUGGUGGAGCACAGUUACUUCCUCCACUGCAUGACAAUACUGAUUGUAGACUGUGCUGUCUGGGAAAGACAACCUCCUGAAGGAGAUAACUUCCUGAAUUUCUGAGAUGUGGGUUUGUAUAUUAUUUUUAUUUAGACAUGCUUUGGGUUUGGAGUUAUUAUUUUGUGUCAAUUGAAAAUAUUUCUCUAUAUUUAAUAUUACCUACUUAUCACUGAAUAGUGAAAUUCCAUAUUCAGUUUCAUAUAUAUAUAAAGAUUCCAAUAGUCCCAACUUUGUCAUAUGUUUUUCCUGGCCCACACUUUCCUGGCUUUGUACUGACAUGAUACGUUUAAACUGCAAACUAAUUCAGUGUCUUGACCCCACUGAAAACUAAUUAAACAAAACAGCUUUUAUGUGGAUCAGCUGCUUACUCCACCACUGUCCUGUGGUCUGAAAUACUACUGAAAGUACUAGUUCCUUCAAAUAUGGCCAGUUUCCUGAAGAAAAAAAGACCCAGCAUUUAUUUUGAAUAGAUUAUGUAAUCCUAAAACAAUAAAAUAGUGAAAUUACAGGAUUUUGAAUAUUUUAUUUCAUAUUAGUCUGUUGAUGCUAAUGUCUGAACACUAUUGCAGGCAUGGUGUUAAAAUAAAUUCAGAUUGAAUUGUUUUAAUUAAAAUCUUUCAUUUUUUGAACACCAUUUAUGAUUCUUCUGUAAAGAUUUGUUGGUAAAGUCUAACUAAAUUGUGUUGCUAGAUGGUAGUAACUGGUAAUUUUUCUAUCUCCAGACCUUUAAUUGUAAAGGUAUCUUCUGAUGUACCUGCACCAUACUGAGCACUGUAUAAAUUGCCUCAUUUCUAGAUCACAGAGGUUUUUUUCCCCCCAAGGUAUUGCUUGCCAAGCCAAAGGCAAACAUUGUGUCCUUUUCUCUUGUUAAUCCCAGACUUCAAAGAGUUGAAAAUUAUUUCCAGUCUAUCAAUUAAACAUAAAAUUUUUCUAUUGUGGAAAAAAAGAUGUAACAGGGCUGUUUCAAAAGCCUGUUGCCAGUAAUGAGUUUUGGAUUGGGUCCAUGGAGAGGUAAUCUGGAUAGCUACCACCACAAGUCAUCUCUGGGAAACUGCUGAUUGUAGGCAUGGCCUUUUUUUCUUGAAGGGUGGUUCUGCCAAGAUGCAAAAAUGACUUGUUCCAAGUGAUUCUUGGCACUACCCUAGACCAUAUUAUUCCUGCCUGUUACAGGUCAAUGUGCUACAUUGAUUGUUUUGUUAUGAGGAAAAGGAAGCUUCUUGUUAUCGUGUUUCUUUAUUUCUAACCUUUUGUCUUGGUUUGCUUGGGUUUUUUAAGCUACAUUUUUGAUUACAUAGUCCUUCAAGGUAAUUGUCAGACAUCCAUUACAUUCGGUAAUAUAGGGAGUGACCAUGGGAAGGAAGAAAGAACAUGUGGGAGUACUCAGGCAAAUCUGUUGCUUGUACUGAGAAUGCAACCUGAACUUGAGAUUUGCAAGUGAAAUACUAGAAAAAUACUGUACUGAAAGUUUCAAAGAGCUGCUAGUGAGGGAAAUGAGAGGUGAAAGGAGACAAGAGGUAAUUGACUUGUCAUCCAAAGGGUGAAAAGUAAUAAAAUGUUGAUUUUAAGUGUAAACACUUCCUUGAUGAUGCAGUGAAAGAAAGACAUAAUUUUCCUUAAUGCUUAUACAAAAGUCAAGUUCUGUUUUAUGCAGUAAAUCUCAGUGUCACUGCUUCUAAUUCAGUACAGGAGAAUUCAAAAGUCUAUGACAAGCUAUUCUACUUUGAAGACCUAUAUCAAAAUUGAAAAAGAAAAAAGAGUUUGCUUUGAAUGAAGAAGAAGAAAAACAUAUUAUGUGGACUUCAGUCAUAAUUUCCCUGAAAUGAGAGAUGGAGUUCUAGAUCUGAGUUUUCUCUGUGUUGUGAUUGAAAUAAAAACAUGGAAAAGCAACUGUCCUUCUGCAGAAUGCAAACAGGUGUGGAACAUCUGCAGUACAGAUAUUCAUUCAUAUGCAAAUGUUUUUACAGCUUAAAAAUACAUUAACUUAAAAUCUGAUCAAACACUCUGUUUGAUUCCGGUUUUCUUCAAAAUUGGGUUCUGUUUUUAAAAAAUAUUUUUAUGUAAACUGAUUCUCAUAAAAAUUGUGUUCAAUUAAAUAGAAAGCAAAAGCUGAAGUUUCUGUUACUCUUGUGAAGAUUUUGGUUCUUGACAGCUCUGGGUUCCAUCCAAGACCUACUUAGCUACAGUUAAGCUGUUGUUUCCUUGUUUUUGACCUUUGGUUUUAAGGAUGUUAGCAUGAAUUAAAUGAAAAUAUGCUUUUCUAUCAAACACUUUAUAGAAUAAGCAAACUUCAGCUAAGCAGUGCAGUCUAUAACUACAAAGCUGAGGACUUGCUUAUUUUAAAUAGUGUAAUAUGAUAGCUAAAUUAUACCUUAUUUAACUCUUCAAAAAGGAGAAAAGAGUGAGGCUAUGUUGCAUAAGCCUUGUGUUUGCAAUGCUGACUUUACAAGAAUAUCCAGUUUUGUUCCUCCUUAAGUUAAUAGGGGAUUUAUGGUUUGCUGCCUUGGUGCUGUUGUUAAACUGUUAAAAUAAUACUGCAGGGAGCUGGGCUCUAAUCCUGAUUUUGGACAGACUCUGCUUUCUCCAUUGUGAAAAAGAUGACACUUCCUCUGUAAAGGCAGAACCCCACGUUGUUCAUCAGUCUCAAUUGCAAUAAAGUAUGCUUUCUAAAAUCAUGCCAUCA